AGCGAACGCUGGCGGCAGGCCUAACACAUGCAAGUCGAACGAACCUUUCGGGGUUAGUGGCGGACGGGUGAGUAACACGUGGGAACGUGCCUUUAGGUUCGGAAUAACUCAGGGAAACUUGUGCUAAUACCGAAUGUGCCCUUCGGGGGAAAGAUUUAUCGCCUUUAGAGCGGCCCGCGUCUGAUUAGCUAGUUGGUUGAGGUAAUGGCUCACCAAGGCGACGAUCAGUAGCUGGUCUGAGAGGAUGAUCAGCCACAUUGGGACUGAGACACGGCCCAAACUCCUACGGGAGGCAGCAGUGGGGAAUCUUGCGCAAUGGGCGAAAGCCUGACGCAGCCAUGCCGCGUGAAUGAUGAAGGUCUUAGGAUUGUAAAAUUCUUUCACCUGGGACGAUAAUGACGGUACCCGGAGAAGAAGCCCCGGCUAACUUCGUG
Molecule: ribosomal RNA, 434 nt
Filed under: uncultured bacterium
Lineage: Bacteria
Description: partial 16S ribosomal RNA
Rfam family: Bacterial small subunit ribosomal RNA
Source: RNAcentral